RNAcentral lists this long non-coding RNA (725 nucleotides) under Capsicum annuum. RNAcentral's name for it is "long non-coding RNA (CANN_LNC013132)". The record is from RNAcentral. Lineage: Eukaryota; Viridiplantae; Streptophyta; Magnoliopsida; Solanales; Solanaceae.
UAUUUUCAACACAUAUUUCCAUUCUCACUAUCACAUACUCCAUUUUUCUAAGAAUUCAAACACACAUACACUGUAAACUCAUAUACGAUUCUCCCUCUAUUUACGAUAGUUUACAAAAUAUCAACACCAACGUGAAAAAAUAGACAGUUUAUUUUCAGAAUCUAAUUUUAGUUUGGAUUUGAAUGACGGUGGUCAGAAUUGACAUUGAGUUGCAGACAGAUAUGGUUUGUCAUUGAUCGGAAAUGAAGGAGGGACGACGAUGAUGGCAGAUCUGGCUGUCGUGGGGAGACGAGGAAAAGGAACGACGCGGCGGCAAGGGUGCACCUGAGUUACCGAAAAAGGGAAAGGGAUAGUGACAUAUCACCGACGUUAGUGGUGCAGAUUCGAUGAGGAAUCGGCCGGAGAGAGAAGCGGUGACUUCGCUUGUGGCAGGGAAAUGGGGAAGAGGGAGGCGCUUGUGUGGGAGGAGGAUGGAGACGAUGGCGAUGGGACGACGAUUCCGGCAAAAUAUUUUAUCGGAAAGAUUUGUUUCCCUUUUUCCGUUCACUCCCUUCCAUCGUCCCUCUCUCACAAAUUCCAUCGUCUCUCUCUCACAAUCUUUUUAUAUCUCUCUGUUAUGGUGUAUAUCGUUGUUCUAUUGUAUGAAAAUCUCUAUGAGAGUAUUUGUGAAGUGUGUGCAAGAAACUGUGUAUAGAUAAACAAAAUAAAUUAAUAUAUCUGUGUGC